This 73-nucleotide transfer RNA is filed under the name marine sediment metagenome. It matches the Rfam family "tRNA". Rfam says of the family: Transfer RNA (tRNA) molecules are approximately 80 nucleotides in length. Their secondary structure includes four short double-helical elements and three loops (D, anti-codon, and T loops). The record is from RNAcentral.
GGACCCGUAGCUCAGCUGGUAGAGCGGUUGACUCAUAAUCAAUUGGCCCCAGGUUCGAGUCCUGGCGGGUCCA